This 342-nucleotide long non-coding RNA is filed under the name Populus trichocarpa (black cottonwood). Its description in RNAcentral is "long non-coding RNA (PTRI_LNC002628)". The record is from RNAcentral. Lineage: Eukaryota; Viridiplantae; Streptophyta; Magnoliopsida; Malpighiales; Salicaceae.
AGCUGAGCUUACUGACAUGGAGCUUGAUGAAUGUGAGGAAACUACUUUACAUGAUGUGAACAUUGAGGAGGAGAUGAGGAGGAAGCAACAACAACAGGCCCAAGAAGCAUAUGAUGAAGAUGAUGAAAUGCAUGGUGGUGGUGGCCAGAGGGUGCAAUGUGCUCAGCAAUAAUCAAUGAGCAGGGGAUGAUUGUGAAUCGAAGAGAGCUGAAUGGGAUCAAGAUGAACUGAUGUGGGUUUGACAAUUAUUUAAGUAAUAAGAUUCUCAACAUUGUGAUAGGAGAUAGACUUCUAGUUUCCUGUAUGGAGAUUUCACCUAUGUUUGCAGACUCGGGCAAUUAC